This 253-nucleotide ribosomal RNA is filed under the name uncultured bacterium. RNAcentral's name for it is "partial 16S ribosomal RNA". It matches the Rfam family "Bacterial small subunit ribosomal RNA", at positions 524 to 776 of the family's 1533-position model. The record is from RNAcentral.
UACGUAGGGUGCGAGCGUUAAUCGGAAUUACUGGGCGUAAAGCGUGCGCAGGCGGUUUUGUAAGACAGAUGUGAAAUCCCCGGGCUCAACCUGGGACUUGCAGUUGAAACUGGUGAGCUAGAGUAGGGUAGAGGGGUGUGGAAUUCCAGGUGUAGCGGUGAAAUGCGUAGAUAUCUGGAGGAACAUCAGUGGCGAAGGCGACACCCUGGACUCAUACUGACACUGAGGUGCGAAAGCGUGGGGAGCAAACAGG